RNAcentral lists this ribosomal RNA (258 nucleotides) under uncultured Glomus. RNAcentral's name for it is "partial 18S ribosomal RNA". It matches the Rfam family "Eukaryotic small subunit ribosomal RNA", at positions 624 to 886 of the family's 1831-position model. Lineage: Eukaryota; Fungi; Glomeromycota; Glomeromycetes; Glomerales; Glomeraceae. The record is from RNAcentral.
AAGCUCGUAGUUGAAUUUCGGGGUCAGUAGGUUGGUCGUGCCACCGGUACGUACUGGUUUCACUGAUUCCUCCUUCCUGAUGAGCUGUAAUGCCAUUAAUUUGGUGUUGCAGGGAAUCUGGACUGUUACUUUGAAAAAAUUAGAGUGUUUAAAGCAGGCUUACGCUUGAAUACAUUAGCAUAGAAUAAUGAAAUAGGACGUUCGAUCCUAUUUUGUUGGUUUCUAGGAUUGACGUAAUGAUUAAUAGGGAUAGUUGGG